RNAcentral lists this ribosomal RNA (159 nucleotides) under Hennediella heteroloma. RNAcentral's name for it is "5.8S ribosomal RNA". It matches the Rfam family "5.8S ribosomal RNA". From Rfam's summary of the family: 5.8S ribosomal RNA (5.8S rRNA) is a component of the large subunit of the eukaryotic ribosome. Lineage: Eukaryota; Viridiplantae; Streptophyta; Bryopsida; Pottiales; Pottiaceae. The record is from RNAcentral.
AAACAACUCUCAGCAACGGAUAUCUUGGCUCUUGCAACGAUGAAGAACGCAGCGAAAUGCGAUACGUAGUGUGAAUUGCAGAAUUCCGCGAAUCAUCUAGUCUUUGAACGCAAGUUGCGCCCGAGGCUUGACCAAGGGCAUUUCUGCCAGAGCGUCACC